AUUGAACGCUGGCGGCAGGCCUAACACAUGCAAGUCGAACGGUAACAGGAAGAAGCUUGCUUCUUUGCUGACGAGUGGCGGACGGGUGAGUAAUGUCUGGGAAACUGCCUGAUGGAGGGGGAUAACUACUGGAAACGGUAGCUAAUACCGCAUAACGUCGCAAGACCAAAGAGGGGGACCUUCGGGCCUCUUGCCAUCGGAUGUGCCCAGAUGGGAUUAGCUAGUAGGUGGGGUAACGGCUCACCUAGGCGACGAUCUCUAGCUGGUCUGAGAGGAUGACCAGCCACACUGGAACUGAGACACGGUCCAGACUCCUACGGGAGGCAGCAGUGGGGAAUAUUGCACAAUGGGCGCAAGCCUGAUGCAGCCAUGCCGCGUGUAUGAAGAAGGCCUUCGGGUUGUAAAGUACUUUCAGCGGGGAGGAAGGGAGUAAAGUUAAUACCUUUGCUCAUUGACGUUACCCGCAGAAGAAGCACCGGCUAACUCCGUG
This 490-nucleotide ribosomal RNA is filed under the name uncultured bacterium. Its description in RNAcentral is "partial 16S ribosomal RNA". It matches the Rfam family "Bacterial small subunit ribosomal RNA", at positions 30 to 507 of the family's 1533-position model. The record is from RNAcentral.